UACGUAGGGGGCAAGCGUUGUCCGGAUUUAUUGGGCGUAAAGAGCGUGUAGGCGGCCAUGUAGGUCCGUUGUGAAAACUCGAGGCUCAACCUCGAGACGCCGAUGGAAACCAUAUGGCUAGAGUCCGGAAGAGGAGAGUGGAAUUCCCGGUGUAGCGGUGAAAUGCGCAGAUAUCGGGAAGAACACCCGUGGCGAAGGCGGCACUCUGGGACGGUACUGACGCUGAGACGCGAAAGCGUGGGGAGCGAACAGG
Molecule: ribosomal RNA, 253 nt
Filed under: uncultured bacterium
Lineage: Bacteria
Description: partial 16S ribosomal RNA
Rfam family: Bacterial small subunit ribosomal RNA
Source: RNAcentral